Molecule: non-coding RNA, 54 nt
Filed under: Streptomyces glaucescens
Lineage: Bacteria; Bacillati; Actinomycetota; Actinomycetes; Kitasatosporales; Streptomycetaceae
Also listed under: 2 other names
Source: RNAcentral
GCUCCGUAGGGCUUGGGGCUCGCACGCUGACGAGCCGUCGGGCAGAAACGGAGG